AGCGAACGGACGAGAAGCUUGCUUCUCUGAUGUUAGCGGCGGACGGGUGAGUAACACGUGGAUAACCUACCUAUAAGACUGGGAUAACUUCGGGAAACCGGAGCUAAUACCGGAUAAUAUUUUGAACCGCAUGGUUCAAAAGUGAAAGACGGUCUUGCUGUCACUUAUAGAUGGAUCCGCGCUGCAUUAGCUAGUUGGUAAGGUAACGGCUUACCAAGGCAACGAUGCAUAGCCGACCUGAGAGGGUGAUCGGCCACACUGGAACUGAGACACGGUCCAGACUCCUACGGGAGGCAGCAGUAGGGAAUCUUCCGCAAUGGGCGAAAGCCUGACGGAGCAACGCCGCGUGAGUGAUGAAGGUCUUCGGAUCGUAAAACUCUGUUAUUAGGGAAGAACAUAUGUGUAAGUAACUGUGCACAUCUUGACGGUACCUAAUCAGAAAGCCACGGCUAACUAC
This 457-nucleotide ribosomal RNA is filed under the name uncultured Staphylococcus sp. RNAcentral's name for it is "bacterial SSU rRNA". It matches the Rfam family "Bacterial small subunit ribosomal RNA", at positions 65 to 504 of the family's 1533-position model. The record is from RNAcentral. Lineage: Bacteria; Bacillati; Bacillota; Bacilli; Caryophanales; Staphylococcaceae.